ACCUGGCUGGCUCAGUUGGUAGAGCAUAAGCCUUCUGAGCUCUGAGGUGUGGGUUCAAGCCCCACAUUGGGUA
Molecule: transfer RNA, 73 nt
Filed under: Ailuropoda melanoleuca (giant panda)
Lineage: Eukaryota; Metazoa; Chordata; Mammalia; Carnivora; Ursidae
Description: tRNA-Arg (TCT) (tRNA-Arg-TCT-8-1)
Rfam family: tRNA
About the family: Transfer RNA (tRNA) molecules are approximately 80 nucleotides in length. Their secondary structure includes four short double-helical elements and three loops (D, anti-codon, and T loops). Further hydrogen bonds mediate the characteristic L-shaped molecular structure. tRNAs have two regions of fundamental functional importance: the anti-codon, which is responsible for specific mRNA codon recognition, and the 3' end, to which the tRNAs corresponding amino acid is attached (by aminoacyl-tRNA synthetases). tRNAs cope with the degeneracy of the genetic code in two manners: having more than one tRNA (with a specific anti-codon) for a particular amino acid; and 'wobble' base-pairing, i.e. permitting non-standard base-pairing at the 3rd anti-codon position.
Source: Rfam by way of RNAcentral